GGUAAUAGCUCAGUUGGUAGAGCAUCAGCUUCCCAAGCUGAGGGUCGCGGGUUCGAGCCCCGUUUACC
RNAcentral lists this transfer RNA (68 nucleotides) under human gut metagenome. It matches the Rfam family "tRNA". Rfam says of the family: Transfer RNA (tRNA) molecules are approximately 80 nucleotides in length. Their secondary structure includes four short double-helical elements and three loops (D, anti-codon, and T loops). The record is from RNAcentral.